Molecule: ribosomal RNA, 262 nt
Filed under: uncultured bacterium
Lineage: Bacteria
Description: partial 16S ribosomal RNA
Rfam family: Bacterial small subunit ribosomal RNA
Source: RNAcentral
GUCCACGCCCUAAACGAUGUCAACUAGGUGUUGGAAGGGUUAAACCUUUAGUGCCGUAGCUAACGCGUGAAGUUGACCGCCUGGGGAGUACGGCCGCAAGGCUAAACUCAAAGGAAUUGACGGGGACCCGCACAAGCGGUGGAUGAUGUGGAUUAAUUCGAUGCAACGCGAAACCUUACCUACCCUUGACAUGUCAGGAAUCCCGGAGAGAUUUGGGAGUGCUCGAAAGAGAACCUGAACACAGGUGCUGCAUGGCUGUCGU